RNAcentral lists this transfer RNA (73 nucleotides) under Camelus bactrianus (Bactrian camel). It matches the Rfam family "tRNA". From Rfam's summary of the family: Transfer RNA (tRNA) molecules are approximately 80 nucleotides in length. Their secondary structure includes four short double-helical elements and three loops (D, anti-codon, and T loops). Further hydrogen bonds mediate the characteristic L-shaped molecular structure. tRNAs have two regions of fundamental functional importance: the anti-codon, which is responsible for specific mRNA codon recognition, and the 3' end, to which the tRNAs corresponding amino acid is attached (by aminoacyl-tRNA synthetases). tRNAs cope with the degeneracy of the genetic code in two manners: having more than one tRNA (with a specific anti-codon) for a particular amino acid; and 'wobble' base-pairing, i.e. permitting non-standard base-pairing at the 3rd anti-codon position. The record is from Rfam by way of RNAcentral. RNAcentral also lists the same sequence under 2 other names. Lineage: Eukaryota; Metazoa; Chordata; Mammalia; Artiodactyla; Camelidae.
GAAGGUAUAGCUCAAGCAGUAAAGCACAUGCCUAGCAUGCAUGAGGUCCUGGGUUCAAUCCCUAGUACUGCUU